This 573-nucleotide ribosomal RNA is filed under the name Limnonectes cf. sisikdagu ENS21055. RNAcentral's name for it is "partial large subunit ribosomal RNA". It matches the Rfam family "Bacterial large subunit ribosomal RNA", at positions 1812 to 2615 of the family's 2925-position model. Lineage: Eukaryota; Metazoa; Chordata; Amphibia; Anura; Dicroglossidae. The record is from RNAcentral.
AACAUCGCCUCUUGAUCAACCAUAAGAGGUCUAGCCUGCCCAGUGACAUAGUUUAACGGCCGCGGUACCCUGACCGUGCGAAGGUAGCAUAAUCACUUGUUCUUUAAAUAAGGACUUGUAUCAACGGCAUCACGAGGGUUACACUGUCUCCCCUCUCUAAUCAGUGAAACUGACUUCCCCGUGAAGAGGCGGGGAUACAACUACAAGACGAGAAGACCCCAUGGAGCUUUAAACCCAAUGACAACCUCUAUUAACCACAUCUUAAAAAUUAAAGGACAUUGUUUAUUGGUUUUAGGUUGGGGUGACCAUGGAGUAAAACUAAACCUCCAAGAUGAACGGUCUUAUCCUAAUCCAAGAGCCACUGCUCUAAGAAUCAAAAAUUUGACAUAAAAUGAUCCGGCAACCGAUCAACGAACCAAGUUACCCUGGGGAUAACAGCGCAAUCCAUUUCAAGAGCCCCUAUCGACAAAUGGGUUUACGACCUCGAUGUUGGAUCAGGGUAUCCCAGUGGUGCAGCCGCUACUAAAGGUUUGUUUGUUCAACAAUUAAAACCCUACGUGAUCUGAGUUCAGA